AUUGUAAGCAUCACUUAGGGGCUUGUAAGAAAGCUUAGGUGCUUUCUUACAAGUAUCUGGCACCUUGGUGCUCCUCCAUGGGGCUUCUCUACACGGAGAGCUUGGACUUCCUCGAAGCAUAGCAUUCUCAGAGUACUGGACUUCUUCCAUGGCAGCUGGCUGCCAAGAUGGAGAAAACAGAUGCUGCCAGAUUCUCAGCCCCACCCCAGACCUACAGAAUCAGACUCUGCUUCCUAACAGUAUGCCCUGAUGGUUUAUUAUAUGCAGAUUAAAGCUUGAGAAGCUCAAAAUUUCUUCAAGCCUCAGGAUAUGGUAACACACAAUUCUACAGCAGCCAUAUCUCUAACAUUAGCUGUCUGCUAUAUAACAAACGGCCUGAAAAUUUACUGUCUUGAAACACUAAUGACUUAUUUUUCACAAUUUUGUAGGUUGACUUGGCUUAGUUGGUGGGUUCUUCUGCCUUCACUAGGCUGAAUUCAUGGGCUGGACUGCCAAGGUUUCACUCUUGUAUCUGGCGCCUUGGUGCUCCUCCAUGGGGCUUCUCUACGAGGAGAGCUUGGACUUCCUCAAAACAGCAUUCUCAGAGAACUGGACUUCUUCCAUGGCAGCUGGCUGCCAAAGAUGGAGAAAACAGAUGCUGCCGAUUCUAUUAAGGCCUGGCUUGAAAGUCCUAGAACAGCACUUCUGCUGCAUUCUACUUAUUAGUCAAAACAAACCACAAGGCCAAUUAGAUUUGAGGAGAGGAAAAAUGGUUUCCACCUCUCGAUAGGUGAAGUACCAUGCAUAUGCAAGGCAAGGAAUUGGUAAUGGCCGUCUUUGGAGACUAUCUACCAUACUCUCUACCCCCUCUUGAGUGAUAUUAGAUGCUGUGCAUGAUCCCUUCUUAAACUCUAAGUACUUGAAAAAUGCUUUAAUAUGUGUCCCAGACUGGCUCCUCCUCCAAGGUAAACAGGAACUUCAACCCACUUUACAAAGGAAAGGGUCCUGACCCAAAAUCCAGAUUGGUCUGAAUUAGGUCUGGUCUGCAUCCUCUCAUGAGACAGUUCUGGACACAGAAGAGUGGCUUCAACAUGCAAAAGGAGAAGAUGCAAAAAGAAGAAAGUGGAAAACAAUGCGUCAAUUCCCCUCAUGCCUAUAUGUCCAGUUUAAAGG
RNAcentral lists this long non-coding RNA (1152 nucleotides) under Homo sapiens (human). RNAcentral's name for it is "HSALNT0380686". Lineage: Eukaryota; Metazoa; Chordata; Mammalia; Primates; Hominidae. The record is from RNAcentral.